GGAAUAUAAAACCGUUCAUGUCAUGAAGAAUUUUCUAUGCCUGAGUGCAUACUAUCUUGUUAUUGAUAUAGGAGGCUCUCCACCAAAAGACUCCAAAUGGAAAGAUCUACCUGGUAAAGCCUUUGUAGAGAACUUGGUGGCGAUCAGAAAAGCUUUCAAUACUACUGUAGUUGUUCUGUUUUGUUGGGGUUUUGUCAGACCAUGUGCUGUAAGAGAACAAAAACUUUCUCCAACCCCUUUCAGAAGCUUAUACCAAACUUGAAUAGUCCCCAUGGCACAGUAAGAUCUUUGAAUCCUUGAUACGUACAUGGAUGCGUAAGUGGAGAUCUGGAGGUCUCAAAGGUGAUGCAAACACGAUGCAGAAUCACUGGUGGAGAUGUGGUGGGAUCAGAACUUGCAAUGCUACCCCUGAAUAUGAAAGAGUAAGGAGUGGCAGCAUAGCCCUCUCCUUGGUUACCAAGUUCAUGUAUCAAAUCAAGUGGAUGAUCUCACCACCACCCCGGAAGACUUCAUGUUUCUCCCAGAACUGUUCGCAUGUCCAGUUCUUCGGUCUCUAAACUGCUCGAUCUAGUGUAGUGCCCACUUGUUGGCUACAAGAAUAGCUUUCAGUAUCACUAUAGCUGUUCUAUUCUGCUGGGGUUGUCUCGGACCAUGUGCUGUAAGAGAACAAUAACUUUCUCGAAGCCCUUUCAGAAGCUUAUAAUAAACCUGAAAAGUUCCCAUGGCACAGUAAGACAUUCGAAUCCUUGAUACCUACAUGGAUGAGUAAGUGGAGAUUUGGAGGUCUCAAAGGUGAAGCAAACACAGUGCAGAAUCACUAAUGUGGUGGGAGCAGAACGUGCAAUGCUACAGCUAAUUGUGAAGAGUAAGAAAUGGCAGCAAAGUCCUCUCCUUGGUUACCAAGUUCAUAUAUCAAAUCAACUGGAUGAUCUCACCUCCACACUAGCAGACUUCUUGUUUCACCCAGAAGGUUUCUCUUACUAUUGGUAUCAGAACUGUGUACAUGUCCAGUUCUUCGGUCUCUUAACUGUAAGCAUACAAACAAUGUUUCCCAAUAUCUGUUGUGCUCAAAAGGCAUCUUAUGCAAGUCCUACAAUUUUGCCGCUUACAAAGUCAGUUUCUUCUUCAUGAGGAAUGAGAUAUUUGAAAGUUGUACUGCUUUUACUUGUAUUCAAUGGAAUAAAUAACAUUUUUUCCCUUCCCCUGCA
Molecule: long non-coding RNA, 1208 nt
Organism: Vitis riparia (riverbank grape)
Lineage: Eukaryota; Viridiplantae; Streptophyta; Magnoliopsida; Vitales; Vitaceae
Exons: 4
Source: RefSeq, a predicted model, not a curated record